CUCAGUGAAAAGAAAGAAAACAAAAUGGCAGCAGAAAAAGGUCAUCCGAGUUCUCCUGGACAGUUGUCUCAUGACAAUCAGCUGGAUGGAUACCAAUCCACAGAAGAGUUAUGUUACAUUCCAUAUAGAUUAGCUAAAUUAUACAUUACCAAGAUUGCAAAAGACAUGCACCAGAUGAAAAUCAGAUAUGUGAAGGUUAUCAAAGAGCUGCAGCAUGUUGGACAGGAAAGCCAGG
Candoia aspera is the source of this 235-nucleotide long non-coding RNA. RefSeq lists it as uncharacterized. The transcript is spliced from 3 exons. The record is from RefSeq and is a predicted model, not a curated record. NCBI's taxonomy places the organism in Eukaryota, Metazoa, Chordata, Lepidosauria, Squamata, Candoiidae.